Molecule: ribosomal RNA, 384 nt
Filed under: Notoclinus compressus
Lineage: Eukaryota; Metazoa; Chordata; Actinopteri; Blenniiformes; Tripterygiidae
Description: partial 12S ribosomal RNA
Rfam family: Bacterial small subunit ribosomal RNA
Source: RNAcentral
ACUCGGCGUAAAGGGUGGUUAAAUUAAUUAUAAACUAAAGCCGAACCCCCUCAGAACUGUUAUACGUACUCGAAGGUUAGAAGCCCCCUUACGAAAGUAGCUUUAAUACUUUUGACCCCACGAAAGCUGCGAAACAAACUGGGAUUAGAUACCCCACUAUGCCCAGCCGUAAACCUUGAUAGUUAAAUUACACAUACUAUUCGCCCGGGUACUACGAGCAUUAGCUUAAAACCCAAAGGACUUGGCGGUGCUUAAGACCCACCUAGAGGAGCCUGUUCUAGAACCGAUAACCCCCGUUAAACCUCAACCUUCCUUGUUUAUCCCGCCUAUAUUCCGCCGUCGUCAGCUUACCCUGUGAAAGAUCUACAGUAAGCAGUCGUAGCA